UCAGCUACAGCUAUUUUCUUCGAAAGUUACAAAUGAACACAUAGGUUAAUUCGAGUAAUUUCGUUUGUAACUUGUCGGUGAUGUGUUCUAUUCCGUGUACAUGUUGGAUAACCUUAGUGUUUCUCACUAACUUACAGGAGGAAACGUAGCCUACCGUUGACUAUUUUGUUCAAAAUGUGCCAUCGAAAUGACACAGGAUUCAUUAUAAUUAUCUGCUGUAAGGAAUGGACUUGCUACAUCACCAACGACCAACCCCAUCACGGACAAAUCUCUCAUUCCUUCUUCUAGAGAACCUUGGCUAACUGUUUGGUGGUUUCAAGUGUUUGAAACUAUAGGUUUCUAAAUUUGCAUGACAGACUUUAAGUAAAGUCAUGUUGAAGAAAAAAGACUGACUGACAGUCAACAAUGUACACUACCUUGUUUGGUAAUUGGCUGCUUCCC
This is a long non-coding RNA of Daphnia pulicaria, 441 nucleotides long. RefSeq lists it as uncharacterized. Lineage: Eukaryota; Metazoa; Arthropoda; Branchiopoda; Diplostraca; Daphniidae. The record is from RefSeq and is a predicted model, not a curated record. The transcript has 3 exons.